Elaeis guineensis (African oil palm) is the source of this 4535-nucleotide long non-coding RNA. RefSeq lists it as uncharacterized. The record is from RefSeq and is a predicted model, not a curated record. NCBI's taxonomy places the organism in Eukaryota, Viridiplantae, Streptophyta, Magnoliopsida, Arecales, Arecaceae.
CUAACGCUGUUGGUUCCGAUAACAUCGAAUCGACCGACUCCACGGGAAAGCAACGGUCACAUGACACAUUCUGGCGUGCGGGGUUUAUUCUGUUUUUUCUUCAGAGCUUAGGAGAAGGACUAAACCCUAACGAUUUCCCUUUGCUUUCCUCUCUUCUCUAUCUUCGAGUCGAUUUCUUGGAGACUUGAACUCUUUGAUUCCAGAUUGCUAUCUCCGGACCGAUGUAAUCGGUGAUCUGAAUUUUAUUUACUCGAAUUCUUGGAGGCGCCCGCUUUAUUUCAAUCUCCAUUGCUGGUUCUUGGUGAGAUCAAGAUAUUUUAAUCCAGAGAUGUCGACGGGAUCUUCUGAUAGAAGAAUGAAACAAGGCAUGUAAAAUGUUCGUAAGAAGAGGAAAGAAAGAAAGUUUUCUUUUCCUUCCUUAAAUCUUAUGUAUGCAAUUGUAUUAUUUUUUCAGGGCAUAUUGUUUUGUAUACAUUAUAUGAUCAAUUAGAAUUUUUAUCUAAGUAUUGUUUAUUUAAUAGUCUCGUGUUUCGUGUCAUCCUCUUUCAGCACUUUAUGAUAUAAAGUGCAACAAGGUUUGGGAGCAAGAUACUGCAUGUGGCUGGUCAGCGACAAAAUCCUCAAACAAUAACAGAACAACUGGUUAUACCAAAAGUUUGGAGCCUGCCUGCAACUUGAUUACAUAAAAUAAAAUAAGAAAUUACUUGUGUUCUCUACAUCAUAAAAUAUGAGAAUUUACACCUCAUGUGCUAUUAAGACAUAAAUAACAUAGAUGCCAAUGAUGAGUGUUUUGUAUAGAUCAUAUAGAAACUGUUAACAUGUGUGACUUAGACACAAAUAACAGAAGUAUAAUAAAUGGAAAGAAUGGAAUUGUGAAAUAUAAGGUUAGGUCAACAAUUGUAACCUAAAAGUGAUACCAAUGAGCUUAUGGAGAAGAUAAUCCAAUGUUGAAGUUAUUCGAGAUUACAUGUGCUGAUAAACAUGCCCAUGUACAUACUUCUUUCUGUACAUAUCGAAUUUAUAAUAAAAUAUGUUCAACUGAUGGUGUAACCAACCCCCUGGAUCUGAAUUAUCAACUUCAUAAACUUAGUCUCAGAUGUGAUAUAUAAUAAAAGUUGUUAAACUGAUGGUAACCAACAUACUGAUUCUGUAUAUUCUACUUUUUAUGAGCUUGUAGCAUCAUGAUAUUCUGGGAGAUAAUUGCAGAUUAGCAACUCAUGAUUAUGUGUUCUGGUCUACCUUUUGCCUGUUCAUUUGCAUAAUAAUAUCAUGAUGCUACAGUAUAAACUAUAUAUCAUCCGAGUAGAUCAUGUAGAAAAUAUUCUUUCUAAUUGUCGUAUGACAUUCUGGCACUGACUUUUUUCUUUCUGAAAAAGAAAGACCCUGACGCAUCUGUUUAAAUGUCGAGGAAAUGAUGAAUGAUGCAUAUUGCACAUACUACAUGAUGCUACCAUUUGAACUGUAGGUUGUGAAGUUGUUAUUUGCAGUGCCUACCUUUCUUGCGCUCGAAUCAACUUCAGGGGGUAGUCUUAGCCAUGCAGAGUAGACAAGAGACUCGUAGACUGUCACAUGGGGUGAGUGGAUGUCAUUCUGCUCACAGUAUCCUGAUAUCCGGGCAAAAGUUUCCUGCUUCUUUGGAUAACCAGAUAUUGUGAUGCUUCCCUCAAUAUAUCCACCAGUUUUUCUCCCAGCCAACACGUCCAUUAAUGUUGUCUUACCCGCUCCACUGACACCCAUCAGUGCUGUGAGAACUCCUGGCCUGAAUACUCCACUUACACUCUUGAGCAGUAACAACCGAUCUUCUGUCACACCCUGAGCUUUCAUUUCCUGCAAGUGUAAAUUAACGAUUAGUUCGCAGUUCUUUGAUCAUAAUAAUGUGAAUGACAUAACCUGACCUUUACUAUGUAAAAUUGCAUAAUAUGUUUGAACUCUAGCAUACCUGUGGCAUGUCCACGGAGUAUUUGACAUCAUCAAAUGUGAGCGACUGUGGAACAAAUGGAAGUACCAUACCCCUCCUCCUGUUCGGAUUGGCUUCAGUGCUGAUCUCCAUCCCUGUGGUCCUACUUCCACUGCCUCUUGCUGAAGUCAUGUGAAUCUGUAGGUAAGUAUAAAUGUUCUUGUAAAUCAGAUUGUGUACUUUUUUAUUAAACUGACCUUCAGAUGGAUGGCUGGAGUUCCUUUCUCUGGUUGCCAGCUCGACAUUUUCUCCUAUUCGGUUAGCUUGCUUCUCUUUCAACACCUCUUCAGAUAUAACUGUUUGGCCUUUUCCAAUUGCUGCAUCAAUGUAAUUUGACAAUUAGAUCAUUGAUUUAUCCUGCCGAGAAGUGUGACCAGUAUUGAUGAGAAGCAUUUAGUAUCGGAGAUGAGGUAGCUCACGGUCAAGGUAAGAAAGCGCAACAGUGAAGAGGAAAUUGAAAACCAGAAUAUAUCCAAGUAAUGCGCCGACACCAAUCCAAUACCAAUUUGCUUCGGUAAAAAGGCCUCGAGACUCCAAAAUUUGGACUCCCAAGGUAUCUUUGCUAGAAGUUCCAUUAACACCCUGUUUUGAGGAGUCAAUGCUAACUCAGAUCAAUUCUAGUGAAUCAAAUUUUUGCAUAUUCAGUAGGGAAUUUCUUACAUGUCUCCAUUUCUUCCCAAGGAAUUCAUUCACGGAUAUUGCAUUCUGUGCAUACAUCAAAGCUGAACACCAGUAACCCCAGAUCCACCAUUUCUUGAUAUUCUCUGAAUAAAGCAAAGAAGAUUUAGUCAUGCAUUUGUCAUUAGUCUUACCAAUAAAAUUUGAAGUUGAGAUAAUGGCUUUUAAUUUGUUGCAAGAAUCUUGGCCUUUUACAGAAGCACAUUAUCUUAAAGACAUCAUACUUCGUGAUAUGACAAAGCCUCCAAGGACUAUAAGCACCAGCUGUGCGAAGGAACCGAAUGUGUUUGCAACAACCAUUUCUCUACCACAUGCAGCCAGGAGUCGAAAGAGUCCAGACGCCAUUUGGCUAACCAAUGCAUAUAUGAAAAACUGUCUAAACAUCCUGUGCAAAGAAGAUUGUCUGGUUAAUCAAGACUGAAAGAUAUAUAUUACGAUCUGGAUUUACUGAUGGUGAUCAGAUUUUUCUAUCCAAUAUCACCUUUGGACAUCUGGAUCAAAACCAAUAACGUAAUAACUCAUGCCGACAUAGAUAGCACAUUCCAAGAAUGAGAUUGGAAUCUUCAGUAUCCAUGCAGGUAGUGCAUAUGCCCAGGCAGGAUAAAACAGGAGAUCUCUUUGCUUGUAAAAGACGGGAAGCUUUGCAAUGCUCAUUGCAAGUUCAGCAAACCCGUUGAACAGAUGAGUGAUAAUACCGAUGAAAAGCGCACCCAUAUAAAUCAAUCCAUCCUCUGUUGUAUCAUGGCGCAUCUUAGUACGGAAGAAGACCGUCAUUGCAAUAGUUGCAAUCAAACAGAGCUGAAAUUAUUAAAGGCCAAAGAAUGUAAGAUGCAGAACCAUAUGAAUUUAGGAAUUGUGCAAGUUAAAGCAGCUGGAUGGUUCCUGCUCUUGUCGAAGGGGGUGGACAGUUCAAUUUCCAACCUACGGCCUACAUGGAAUGAUAGAAAUGCAUCUGCAAAUUCCUUAACAGGAAUGAAACGGAAUUUCAAUGCAAUUCUUGGAACAUAGACCAAACGGACAAACUAUCAUAUCGAACUACUUUAGCUACUUACUUCCUGCAAGAAGUCGGCAACACCUUUCCUCUCAGGACAUCUGAAACCCAUGGAUUCAAAAAAUUCAAGCACAUGCUCACGUGGACCCUGAUACACAAUCUGCCCUUCAGAGAGGAGAAUAAUGUCAUCAAAAAGGUCGUAAGUCUCUGGAGCUGGCUGAAGCAGAGCUAUCAGUGCUGUUCCCCCAAGGAUGUGAAUGGACUGCCUGAGGGAAUUGACAAUCUGGAAAGUUGUGGAGCUGUCCAGGCCAGUAGAGAUCUCAUCCAUGAACAGUGCCCUUGCUGGACCAACAAGCAUUUCACCUAUUGACAAGAAGAUAAUUGUUCAAGUUUGGCAGUCUUACAACAAGAGGAGUGUUUUGAGUGCUAGUGAAUCCCAAAGGUUCUCAUUAACAAUAAUUCCACCUGUCGUGACUCGCUUCUUUUGCCCUCCGGAGAUUCCCCUUAACAUUGCAUCUCCUACCACAGUAUCGGCACAGAUAUCCAGUCCUAAAAUCUGCAGUUUUAGAGGAAGCAGGGAGAAGAAGAUAGAGAGAGUUAUAACUAUUGCGCAUUGGGGGUAAGAGAUCUCUCAACAGAUUUGUCGUCCUAAUAUGUAGAGUGCUUUCCUCCAACCUUGCCACUUGGAACUUAUCCUCAAUUGGACUUUAAUAUGUUCCUAUGUAAGUAAUCAUUUUAUCAAUUACCAGCCUGUGGGAUACCUUUUUGCAGUAUCUCUGCUCUACUAGGCAUGUCUAUGAAAUGGUCAGUGGUUUUGGUUUAUGAAAUAUUCUGACCAUAGCACCCAGUUGACUUGCUUGAUUGGAUGCACUCAUAAUAGUUGGGUUUACAGGAAUGAUUGGUGGAGCA